RNAcentral lists this ribosomal RNA (274 nucleotides) under uncultured bacterium. RNAcentral describes it as "partial 16S ribosomal RNA". It matches the Rfam family "Bacterial small subunit ribosomal RNA", at positions 523 to 796 of the family's 1533-position model. The record is from RNAcentral.
AUACGAAGGUGGCAAGCGUUGUUCGGAAUCACUGGGCUUAAAGCGCACGCAGGCGGAACAGAAAGUGUCUUGUGAAAGCCCCCGGCUUAACCGGGGAAUUGCUUGGCAAACUUCUGUUCUUGAGGCAAGUAGAGGUACAUGGAACUCUUGGUGGAGCGGUGGAAUGCGUAGAUAUCAAGAGGAACGCCAAUGGUGAAGACAGUGUACUGGGCUUGUCCUGACGCUGAGGUGCGAAAGCGUGGGGAGCGAACGGGAUUAGAAACCCUAGUAGUCC